GCAACUGUUUGUGCAAUCACUGCAUUACACCCGCCUAAUCGAGUCCAAAUCGCACGCGCUAAACUGCUAGUAGAUUUGCAGACCGUGAAAAACAACUCCGAAUCCUAAUUCCCUCAACUAUACGCACAAGAGCAGAGCCAAAAAGAACCAGCUCGAGAUCUAACUUGUUCGAACCGUCUCUGUCUGGUUUCUUUGUUCUUUUAUGGCGGAAAACUCUAACUUGCGCGUUCGAACGGCGGUGUUGUCUCUAAUCCUGUUAUGUUCAACCUUUGGUAAUCUUAAUCUAGUACCUGUAGCAGAAGCUAUAUGGUUAUCGAUUCCUAGUUCGGGAACCAAGUGUGUUUCGGAGGAGAUCCAGAACAACGUUGUCGUUCUCGCUGAUUAUUAUGUUAUUAACGAGGAUCGGCCAGAACACACCCCAAAUGUCUCUGCUCGGGUGACAUCUCCAUAUGGGAACAAUCUUCACCACAAUGAAAAUGUAACUCAUGGUCAGUUUGCAUUUACAACAUCAGAGGCUGGUAACUACAUGGCAUGUUUCUGGUUGGAUAGCCAUCAGCAACAAGCUGGAACAACAACUUUGAGCCUUGACUGGAGAAUUGGAAUUGCUGCGAAGGACUGGGAAUCAGUAGCAAGGAAAGAAAAAAUUGAGGGCGUUGAACUUGACCUAAGGAGACUUGAAGGAACAGUUCAAUCGAUUCACAAUAAUCUAAUCUAUCUCAGGGAAAGGGAAGCAGAGAUGAGGGAAGUCAGUGAAAGAACUAAUGCCAGAGUGGCGUGGUUGAGCAUCAUGUCUCUUGGUGUCUGCAUCGUGGUUUCAGUUUUCCAGCUGUGGCAUUUGAAGAACUACUUCCAAAAGAAGAAGCUUAUAUAGAUCUUAUUCUGUAUUUGUCAUUGUUAGAAAACUGUGUUCAAUGGUUGUACCAUGUUGUAUAACUUCCUCCGGAUUUUUCUUCCUACUUAAGGUGGGCAUUGUCAGUGCCAUCUUAGGUGGUCAGAAAAGAGGAAAAAUGAUAAAAAAGAUAGUUAAAAUACAGAUAUUCCAGAAAACAAUACCUGUGACUGAAAUUGUUUUAGAAAAUGAUCGUUAUGAACUAGGAAGGUAUUUUCAUUCUUGUUUUGUAAUGUGCUAAUUGAAAACAUCCCAAGAAACUGGUAUGAAAACUGCGGAAUUACAAAUAAAUUUUAUAAAAUUGUGCAAUUUUCAAACCCUGAAAUAUUGAUUCUUUGAUACGUCUAAUUCUAAAUUGAUUGAACUCUUGCUGGUGUGUGUAAACCCUUGCUGUUAUGAGUAAAAUUUAAUCCCUGGGCUCUGGGCCUUACUGGGUUUUCUAUGACAAAAGUAUUGGAACAGAAUUGGAACUUGCUUAACGGGCAUCAUCACUGUAAUAUCUAAUAGCCUAAACGCUUCAAACUGGAAACUCAAAAGCGGAAGAUUUUAGCGAAGAAGAUUUGAAGGAUUAUGGCCUUUGCAUCGCUGGCCGCAACGGCGGCAAGGCCAUCCUCGAUUGCUUUACUAGGAAGACGAAGACCCAGAUCGAUUUUCACUCCUUUGGCAUUUUGCUCUUCUUCUUCUUCUUCACCAUUGAAAACGAGAAAGUUGGUUCUCUACUCGAAGCCUGGAUGCUGUUUGUGUGAUGGCCUCAAAGAGAAGCUUCAGGCAGCCUUAUUGCUUUCAGGUCCUUAUUCUCUUCACGACGUCGAUUUGCAGGUAAGGGAUAUUACAAGCAAUCCUGAGUGGGAAAGAGCUUACCAGUACGAGAUACCUGUGUUGGCUAAAGUACUUUCUGAUGGCACUGAGGUUAGUGUUUCUUUACCUUAACUUUUCUUUUAAGCUUUACUCUUAAGUCAGUGUUAGUUUUGCAAUGAUAAUGUAGUUACCUUCGGUGUUGGUGCUUAAUGAAUGCGAGGAUCUCAUAAUUUCCGAUUUCAAAUGCUACUUAGAGGGUGUAAAUGGUUUUAAAGUGGAAUAAAAACCAAAGCUUACAUUGUUAACUGUUCACCUAAUUUUGAACAUCUGGGUUUAUGAUUGGUUUUUCAAAUGAAUUCUUAAUAACUAUUUUUAUCAGUGAAAUGGGCAAACUGAUCAAGAGUCAUAUUGUUAUUUAGGGUACCAAUUUUUUUCAAGUGGCUUAGGGUAUCAAAUGUUAAUAAAAGUUUGAGCGGUUUAGGGGCUUAGGGUAUCAAAUGCUAGUAGAAGUUUGACUGGCUUACGAAGUCUGCAUUGUUUCCCCUCUUUGCUUCUUCCUUUUUUCCCUUAUCCAAAUCAAAUGAAAACAAUAAAACCAUUUGAUUAAAAGUUAACCUCCUAGUUAAACAAAAUAUAUUGAGGCUGGCUUAGUUGGGAUACCUAAAGUCUAAUUGCCUUCAAAAUUUAGGAAAACACUGAUUAGGGAUUUGCAUUUAUAAAUAAUUGUCAAGACUGGAAUGCAAUCAUUGUAUUUAUAUGAUUGAUUUUGUUCAUGACAUUGCUAAAACUAAAGUAAUAGACUUUAUGGUUUGGGAAAGCAUGGGCGUUGGAGUAUAUAUAUGUAUGUAGUUUGACUUGAUUGAUUCUUGAUUCACUAAGGCAUGUUUGGGAUUGUAACAAUUUGUUGCUUUCCCAAUGGCCAAUCAGCAAUAGGAAAAACAAAAAAAUAAAAAUAUGCCCAAAUUCUAUUUGCAUAAGCUGGGUCCUGCAACACUGCAAAACAGGCACUAAGUUGGUUGAUGGUUGGAGAAAAGUAAAGUUGUAAAGAAUAAUUGAGAAGCUUGAAAUACGUUAUUGGUACCUUCAUUCUUUUUUAUUUGUUUUCUAGCCAUGUGGUUGU
Molecule: unclassified non-coding RNA, 2807 nt
Filed under: Hevea brasiliensis (rubber tree)
Lineage: Eukaryota; Viridiplantae; Streptophyta; Magnoliopsida; Malpighiales; Euphorbiaceae
Source: RNAcentral